This is a long non-coding RNA of Dermacentor andersoni, 328 nucleotides long. RefSeq lists it as uncharacterized. NCBI's taxonomy places the organism in Eukaryota, Metazoa, Arthropoda, Arachnida, Ixodida, Ixodidae. The record is from RefSeq and is a predicted model, not a curated record.
CCAAGGGUAAAAAAUAUGUCCCCGAAGUCCCAUCGGCGUCAUUGUCGCCGGUUCGGGGUCAGGGACGCGACAAGUAACGCCCCGGUAUUCCCACUGCAGGGUAGAGCCAUGUGAUGAAGGCAACCUUACAGAUCCCAGCAAAUGUUGCUUUCCCAACGUUCUCUAGGACAUCAAGACCACGGCCCUGGAAACACACUGCAGCUUAAAGGCAGAAACAUGAGUGACGACAGCAGUGAUUGCGACAAGUACCGCCGGCAUCCGUAUCGGACACUUCGCCCCAGCGACUACCAAAGCGGUGCAGCAAAUUGGAUGGCUUCACAAAUGGCUC